Cercocebus atys (sooty mangabey) is the source of this 304-nucleotide unclassified non-coding RNA. Its record names the gene 7SK. It matches the Rfam family "7SK RNA". From Rfam's summary of the family: 7SK was discovered as an abundant small nuclear RNA in the mid-70s but a possible function has only recently been suggested. Two independent studies have found that 7SK RNA binds the CDK9/cyclin T complex (known as elongation factor P-TEFb). Lineage: Eukaryota; Metazoa; Chordata; Mammalia; Primates; Cercopithecidae. The record is from Ensembl.
GGACGCAUGGACAGUCUGGCUGUGACUGCUGUUCUCCCAUCAACAGCCGGGGUACAGCAACCUGGUCUGACUUGCUAGGCAGGUGUCCUUCUUCCCCAGCUUCUCCAGGAUUCUCCCAAACCUGUGUCACUGGAUGGAGUGGAUGGCCUUUCUAGGAGGAGGAAAGCCUUCUUGCAUUCACAGGUCUACAUUAGCUGCAUUUGUCUGUUAGAUCCUUUGAUCAAACUCACUCCAGAUAUUGAAAGUCUUUAUAUACAAAAUCCUGGUCUGUGACCUGAGAGAAGGGAGAUGCCCUUGAGUUCUU